CAAACCAUCAAGAAGAGGGGCGGCAAAGAGAUGGAUGGCUGAAAUUUGGGUGCUAGGAUGGGCGCCGUCUUGGAAACCCUAAGCGCUAGGGUUUCUUCUUCUUCUUUGGGAUUGGUGGCUAGGAUUUUUGGGAGAGAGAUGCUAGGGCAUGAGAGAGAGAGAGAGAGAAGAGAGAGAAUAUCUAGGAGAAAAUGGUUUCAAUUCAUUGAUUCGUAUCAAACCAAUUACAACUUAUACACACACACACAUAUAUACAUACAAACAAUUGGUCAACAUGACCCAACCCAAAAACUUUCAAUGCUAACCCACCUGUGAUCGCACUUAUCCAAGUCCAUGUACACCCAUGACUUGUAUGCUCUCAUCCUUCUAGGACCCAAACCUAUCCCAAUAAUAGACUAGCCCCUCAAAGCCCAUAACUCCUAGGCC
RNAcentral lists this long non-coding RNA (426 nucleotides) under Elaeis guineensis (African oil palm). Its description in RNAcentral is "long non-coding RNA (EGUI_LNC018760)". Lineage: Eukaryota; Viridiplantae; Streptophyta; Magnoliopsida; Arecales; Arecaceae. The record is from RNAcentral.